UAUGAGUGGCGAACGGGUGAGUAACACGUGAGUAACCUGCCCUCUCCUUUGGGAUAACGCCCGGAAACGGGUGCUAAUACUGGAUAUUCACUGGCCUUCGCAUGGGGUUGGUGGAAAGGUUUGUUCUGGUGGGGGAUGGGCUCGCGGCCUAUCAGCUUGUUGGUGGGGUGAUGGCCUACCAAGGCUUUGACGGGUAGCCGGCCUGAGAGGGUGACCGGUCACAUUGGGACUGAGAUACGGCCCAG
RNAcentral lists this ribosomal RNA (245 nucleotides) under uncultured bacterium. RNAcentral's name for it is "partial 16S ribosomal RNA". It matches the Rfam family "Bacterial small subunit ribosomal RNA", at positions 90 to 334 of the family's 1533-position model. The record is from RNAcentral.